This 810-nucleotide ribosomal RNA is filed under the name uncultured bacterium. RNAcentral's name for it is "bacterial SSU rRNA". It matches the Rfam family "Bacterial small subunit ribosomal RNA", at positions 8 to 808 of the family's 1533-position model. The record is from RNAcentral.
AGAGUUUGAUCCUGGCUCAGAACGAACGCUGGCGGCGCGUUUUAAGCAUGCAAGUCGAGCGGCAAGGGUACUUCGGUACCCCUAGAGCGGCGGACGGGUGAGUAACACGUGGAUAACCUGCCCCCGGGUGCGGGAUAGCCCAGGGAAACCUGGAUUAAUACCUCGUAAGACCACACUCUGACGGGAGAGUGGGAAAAGGCGCUUCGGCGUCGCCUGGGGAUGGGUCCGCGUCCCAUUAGCUAGAUGGUAGGGUAAGAGCCUACCAUGGCGACGAUGGGUAGCCGGCCUGAGAGGGUGAACGGCCACACUGGAACUGAGACACGGUCCAGACUCCUACGGGAGGCAGCAGCUAAGAAUCUUCCGCAAUGGGCGCAAGCCUGACGGAGCGACGCCGCGUGGGCGAGGAAGGCCGCAAGGUUGUAAAGUCCUUUUCGGGAAGGGGAAUAAGAGUGAUAGGCAAUGAUCACUUGAUGACAUGAAUCCCGGAAUAAGCCCCGGCUAACUACGUGCCAACAGCCGCGGUAACACGUAGGGGGCGAGCGUUGUUCGGAAUCAUUGGGCGUAAAGGGCGCGCAGGCGGCGUGUAAAGUCUGGCGUGGAAGUCCCCGGCUCAACUGGGGGAUUGCGUUGGAAACUGGCACGCUUGAGUACGACAGGGGAUGGCGGAAUUCCAGGUGUAGGGGUGAAAUCUGUAGAUAUCUGGAGGAACACCAAUGGCGAAGGCAGCCAUCUGGAUCAGUACUGACGCUGAGGCGCGAAGGUGCGGGGAGCAAACAAAUUUAGAUACCCUGGUAGUCCGCACAGUAAACG